CCUACGGGCGGCAGCAGUGGGGAAUAUUGGACAAUGGGGGGAACCCUGAUCCAGCCAUGCCGCGUGUGUGAAGAAGGCCCUCGGGUUGUAAAGCACUUUCAGUGAGGAAGAACGCCUGGUGGUUAAUACCUAUCAGGAAAGACAUCACUCACAGAAGAAGCACCGGCUAACUCCGUGCCAGCAGCCGCGGUAAUACGGAGGGUGCGAGCGUUAAUCGGAAUUACUGGGCGUAAAACGCGCGUAGGUGGCUUGAUAAGCCGGUUGUGAAAGCCCCGGGCUCAACCUGGGAACGGCAUCCGGAACUGUCAAGCUAGAGUGCAGGAGAGGAAGGUAGAAUUCCCGGUGUAGCGGUGAAAUGCGUAGAGAUCGGGAGGAAUACCAGUGGCGAAGGCGGCCUUCUGGACUGACACUGACACUGAGGUGCGAAAGCGUGGGUAGCAAACAGGAUUAGAUACCCCAGUAGUC
This 465-nucleotide ribosomal RNA is filed under the name Vreelandella stevensii. RNAcentral describes it as "partial 16S ribosomal RNA". It matches the Rfam family "Bacterial small subunit ribosomal RNA", at positions 338 to 795 of the family's 1533-position model. The record is from RNAcentral. Lineage: Bacteria; Pseudomonadati; Pseudomonadota; Gammaproteobacteria; Oceanospirillales; Halomonadaceae.